Long non-coding RNA from Bufo gargarizans (Asiatic toad), 571 nucleotides. RefSeq lists it as uncharacterized. Lineage: Eukaryota; Metazoa; Chordata; Amphibia; Anura; Bufonidae. The record is from RefSeq and is a predicted model, not a curated record. The transcript is spliced from 3 exons.
AGCGAAUGUUGAUGCGGGGCUAUGACCGGACCAAUAAAAGAGAGGAGAAGCAGGCCAUCAUCAGGGCUCUCCUCUUGGAAUUGUCCCAAAAAUUCUAUGAGUGAAAGAUUAUGCCCAGGGGUUCCCGUUCCAUCGAUCAAACACCGAAGAGCCAAAAAGGAUCUUAAUGUAGUGAAGGCCUCCACGGAUGAGGAUUGAGGAAGAGUCGGAGGAGCAGGCGGAUGGAGAGCAGGCCUCACCCUCCGAUAAUGGAGUGGCCCCUCCCCCACCUGAUGUGGGCGAAAUGUUGGAGGUAGAGGGAGAGCAGCCCGGAACCUCCAAGAAUGUAGCAGAUCCUCAACCACCUGAUGUGGGCGAAAUGUUGGAGGAACAGGCUGAACCUGAGCCCGGACCCUCCCAGCCAUGGAUGAGGAGGUCUACACCACCCACCAGGAGGAAAUGCAGAAAAACGGCUGGCCCAGAUGAAGCGUAACCACUGUAAAAUGAUGCAUGAAAUAGACAAGAUGCUAAUGAGGGUCAACCAGAAGGUUAACCACCUGAAUAAACAGCACCACCUUCAAGGGAGGAAGGA